Molecule: long non-coding RNA, 723 nt
Organism: Hippocampus comes (tiger tail seahorse)
Lineage: Eukaryota; Metazoa; Chordata; Actinopteri; Syngnathiformes; Syngnathidae
Exons: 4
Source: RefSeq, a predicted model, not a curated record
AGGUCAGGAAAUACACAACCAAUAUUGUAUUGUUUUAUGGCGGAACAGCACACUAGCUCAAACAAGUAUCGUCAAUACAUAUCCUUCUUUCAGUUUCACCUUCCUUCUUACCACAUUUGAGACAAAUCAAUGUUGUAAUUCCUCUUCAAUGCGGACUCGUUUACACAACGGUGAUUCAUCCCACCAGACAACAGGGAAAAACGACAAUGUAGCAUCUUGUCUGAUCAGUUGUUCUUGCACACGUUUUAAGUUUUACACUCGCUUUUGUCCCACCUUAAAAUUAGGAACUGUCGAGGCAGGCGUUGUUUCGAGAAACUUAUACAUUGAACGUAGUGGCGAUGUUACGGGUCCAACUUCGAAGUGGACUGAUCACGCAUGGGAGAGGGGAGUGACGUUCAGGUGACCAGCCAGGGGUCUUGAUGUCCAAAGAAGCUGCGGAGGACGACUUUUCGGUCAGGGUGGCGGCAUUACUGUCAACAUGGCGCAGGCUUCCCGGUUGGGCAGGGGAUGAAAGUGAAGGUAAGCCCCCCUCGUCCCCUCUGAUGUCAUGAUGUCACGUAGCGCAAGCGCGAGCUCGAGGAGAGCUACACGGCACUCUGGGCUACGUCAUUUAAAGAAUGGCCUCAUGCACCGGGAUGAUCUCUGGAACCAUUCUAAUAUCAUGGAUUGUUGUGGGAGGAGCUUUUCUCACAGGUCUGGCUAUGACAUUGGUCAGAGCUGGCU